This 3847-nucleotide long non-coding RNA is filed under the name Xyrichtys novacula (pearly razorfish). Lineage: Eukaryota; Metazoa; Chordata; Actinopteri; Labriformes; Labridae. The record is from RNAcentral.
GUUGAAAUCGCACAAAGUGGAGAAGAGUUAUAAAGUGCCAAAAAAUGGCGGAAGAAAAAUAAUAAUAAUAAUAAUAACUAGAAAAUUUGCAUUUCCUUGCAGAAAAUGCGUGGAAAUGCUGAGUGCUGAAAGCUGAAAAAGCAAUGCUAAACUGCUAAUAAAACAUGGAGAAAGGUAUAAAUGUAAAAGCUGUUGAAGGGGUAAAAAAAUAUAUAUAAGUUAAAUAAUUGUGAAAAUGGUUGGAGGAUAAAUAGUAUGAAUAUGCUCCUCAAAUUGAAAUUUGAUUCAUGCUGAUAGAGGCUGGAAAAUGUUCUACAAUUACACAAAGUUUGAAUGAAGAAGUAAAUUACCUUAAAAGGCAAGUAAGUGAAAAGUGGCAUAAGUUUAAGUUGUAGUACUAGAAGUAGUAUGAUAAUAGGUAGUUGUAGUAGUGAUAUUAGUAGUCAUGUAAGCAGUAGAAGUAGUUUUAGAAUUGAAGAAGUAGAAGUCAAAGCAGUAGAGCUCGUGGUAGAAGUAAGAGUAGAAGUAAAAAAAUAUUAAGAGAAGCAAGAGCAGUGGAGGUGGAAGUGAAGAUACAAGUUAAGGUGACAUAAGUAGUAAUUGUAGUGGUAGAACUGGGAUUUUGCUUGAAGAAUUAAAACAUACAUAAAUAAUGAGAAUGAUUUUGAAGUGGGAAAAACUUAAAAAUUAGACGUCCUAAUGUGUUUAACAGGUUUGAAGUAUCCCAAAGGUUUGAAUCAGUUUGAAUGAGUUUGGAUUUGUCUGAAGAAUUUCAUAAUGCAUGAAUAAUGAGAAUAAUUUUAAAGUGGGAAAAAGUUAAAUGAAUAAAAAUCCUGAGUACACCCCAUAUUGUCCUCAAUGAGCUGAAUUUUUGGAGCCCUGAAUGGUUUCUGUAGGUCAAAGUUUGUAGUCCUCGCUUUGUGGGUCUUUUCUCAUAGACCUCACAAAGCAGCAAGUACAAGAUUUUGUGUGUGUGUCUCGUUAAUGACUGCAUCCUAAACAGCUGUGAGAUCAAAGGCAUUAACUGACCUACUGUUUGACUGAGAAGCAGCUGAACUGCAGAGGAUGUAAAGCCUCUGAACUUCUUCACAUUGUGUGAUUUCCUUAAGUCCCAGAAUGAAAAUAAGAACAUCGUACGAAUCCUCCGUCCUUCAUGAACACAAUGAUGUGUUUUUCAUGUCUGUACUUCGAAAAAUGAGGCCACAACAGCGAGUUAAAAAAGUCUGAGCUUGAGCGAUGAUCCGGAUUUUCUUGGAGAAAAAUAACAUUACAGUCAAUGGGAGAGAUUUCCGCCUUUUUUGGACAGUUGGUCACCUGCUGGCCAAGGGGUACGAUUUAAUGAUUUGAAACCUCUUUUGUGAGAAGCAGGACACAUAUACCUCCAUUUUGAUGUAUUAUUUGUGUCAGUGGAGUGAGAUUUGUGGGCGUGGGAGCGAUAUAUUCGAGCGAGGUUCUGUCGAUCAGAGACGAGGUCUGCACUCUAGCUGAUGACAUCAUCACUCUAAACUCUCCAAUACACACCCAUUAUAAAGCUUGAAAUUUGCUGAAAACCACAAGUUGCUUAAAGCUAAAUUGUGGAAAAACUGUAAGAGAUAUCAAAAAACUGAGUACAACUGUAAUAGUCGACAAGUGAAUGAACAUUUUAAAACAAAAAUGAGGUCUCUAGGUGAAAGUAUGCAGAAGUUACAAGGUUCAGAAGGUGGAAGAAAAACAGGAAGAAUUGGAAGAUUUCCCCAUUGACUUCAAUGUUAAAAUUUUUGCAUAAAAAGUUAAAAAAAUCAAAAAGUAUAAAGGGUAGAAAAGUGAAAAGUAAUCGCCGUCAUGUCCUGAAGGAGAGGAAUAGUUUAAAGUUUGAACGGUUGAAAUCGCACAAAGUGGAGAAGAGUUAUAAAGUGCCAAAAAAUGGCGGAAGAAAAAUAAUAAUAACUAGAAAAUUUGCAUUUCCUUGCAGAAAAUGCGUGGAAAUGCUGAGUGCUGAAAGCUGAAAAAGCAAUGCUAAACUGCUAAUAAAACAUGGAGAAAGGUAUAAAUGUAAAAGCUGUUGAAGGGGUAAAAAAAUAUAUAUAAGUUAAAUAAUUGUGAAAAUGGUUGGAGGAUAAAUAGUAUGAAUAUGCUCCUCAAAUUGAAAUUUGAUUCAUGCUGAUAGAGGCUGGAAAAUGUUCUACAAUUACACAAAGUUUGAAUGAAGAAGUAAAUUACCUUAAAAGGCAAGUAAGUGAAAAGUGGCAUAAGUUUAAGUUGUAGUACUAGAAGUAGUAUGAUAAUAGGUAGUUGUAGUAGUGAUAUUAGUAGUCAUGUAAGCAGUAGAAGUAGUUUUAGAAUUGAAGAAGUAGAAGUCAAAGCAGUAGAGCUCGUGGUAGAAGUAAGAGUAGAAGUAAAAAAAUAUUAAGAGAAGCAAGAGCAGUGGAGGUGGAAGUGAAGAUACAAGUUAAGGUGACAUAAGUAGUAAUUGUAGUGGUAGAACUGGGAUUUUGCUUGAAGAAUUAAAAAAUACAUAAAUAAUGAGAAUGAUUUUGAAGUGGGAAAAACUCAAAAAAUUAGACGUCCUAAUGUGUUUAACAGGUUUGAAGUAUCCCAAAGGUUUGAAUCAGUUUGAAUGAGUUUGGAUUUGUCUGAAGAAUUUCAUAAUGCAUGAAUAAUGAGAAUAAUUUUAAAGUGGGAAAAAGUUAAAUGAAUAAAAAUCCUGAGUACACCCCAUAUUGUCCUCAAUGAGCUGAAUUUUUGGAGCCCUGAAUGGUUUCUGUAGGUCAAAGUUUGUAGUCCUCGCUUUGUGGGUCUUUUCUCAUAGACCUCGCAAAGCAGCAAGUACAAGAUUUUGUGUGUGUGUCUCGUUAAUGACUGCAUCCUAAACAGCUGUGAGAUCAAAGGCAUUAACUGACCUACUGUUUGACUGAGAAGCAGCUGAACUGCAGAGGAUGUAAAGCCUCUGAACUUCUUCACAUAGCGUGAUUUCCUUAAGUCCCAGAAUGAAAAUAAGAACAUUGUACGAAUCCUCCGCCCUUCAUGAACACAAUGAUGUGUUUUUCAUGUCUGUACUCCAAGAAAUGUGGCCACAACAGUGAGUUAAAAAAGUCUGAGCCUGAGUGGCGAUAAGGAUUUUCUUGGAGAAAAAAUACAUUAGGGCUAAUGGGAGAGAUUUCCGCCUAUUUGAACAGUUGGUCACCUGCUGGCCAAGGGGUAGGAUUUAAUGAUUUGAAACCUCUUUUGUGAGAAGCAGGACACAUAUACCUCCAUUUUGAUGUAUUUUUUAUGUCUGUGGAGUGAGAUUUGUAGGCGUGGGAGCGAUAUAUUCGAGCGAGGUUCUGUCGAUCAGAGACGAAGUCUGCACUCUAGCUUUUCAAAUUGUCACUCUAGCCUCUCCAAUACACACCCAUUAUAAAGCUUGAAAUUUGCUGAAAACCACAAGUUGCUUAAAGCUAAAUUGUGGAAGAACUGUAAAAGAUAUCAAAAAACUGACUACAACUGUAAUAGUCGACAAGACAAUGAACAUUUUAAAGCAAAAAUGAGGUCUCUAGGUGAAAGUAUGCAGAAGUUAUAAGGUUCAGAAGGUGGAAGAAUAACAGGAAGAAUUGGAAGAUUUCCCCAUUGACUUCAAUGUUAAAAUUUUUGCAUAAAAAGUUAAAAAAAUCAAAAAGUAUAAAGGGUAGAAAAGUGAAAAGUAAUCGCCGUCAUGUCCUGAAGGAGAGGAAUAGUUUAAAGUUUGAACGGUUGAAAUCGCACAAAGUGGAGAAGAGUUAUAAAGUGCCAAAAAAUGGCGGAAGAAAAAUAAUAAUAAUAACUAGAAAAAUUGCAUUUCCUUGCAGAAAAUGCGUGGAAAUGCUGAGUGCUGAAAGCUGAAAAAGCAAUG